This 291-nucleotide long non-coding RNA is filed under the name Homo sapiens (human). Its description in RNAcentral is "HSALNT0028651". The record is from RNAcentral. Lineage: Eukaryota; Metazoa; Chordata; Mammalia; Primates; Hominidae.
AGUGCCCUGAUCAUGGACCCUCCAGCCUUCAGAAUUGCAACAGACACCUGAGCCAUGUACUCCUCCUGAUGGAUCGCAGGAGCAUAAGAUGGUAAGCCGAAACACAGAAUACAUCACAAAGCCCAUCCUUGAAACUAGGACAAUGUCCAUCAGCUACAAGCCCUAUGAUUAAGUCCAUCAAAGGUGAAGUAGAUGGAACUCCAUAUAGACAAAAAUAAAGGUGACAGGUAAGAAUAGGAAACGGUUGAAGUGGAUGAGAUAAAAUUCUAACCUUAUGAAUAAUUUCAGGAA